RNAcentral lists this transfer RNA (71 nucleotides) under Danio rerio (zebrafish). It matches the Rfam family "tRNA". From Rfam's summary of the family: Transfer RNA (tRNA) molecules are approximately 80 nucleotides in length. Their secondary structure includes four short double-helical elements and three loops (D, anti-codon, and T loops). Further hydrogen bonds mediate the characteristic L-shaped molecular structure. tRNAs have two regions of fundamental functional importance: the anti-codon, which is responsible for specific mRNA codon recognition, and the 3' end, to which the tRNAs corresponding amino acid is attached (by aminoacyl-tRNA synthetases). tRNAs cope with the degeneracy of the genetic code in two manners: having more than one tRNA (with a specific anti-codon) for a particular amino acid; and 'wobble' base-pairing, i.e. permitting non-standard base-pairing at the 3rd anti-codon position. The record is from Rfam by way of RNAcentral. Lineage: Eukaryota; Metazoa; Chordata; Actinopteri; Cypriniformes; Danionidae.
UCAUUGGUGGUUCAGUGGUAGAAUUCUUGCCUGCCACGCGGGAGAACCGGUUUCGAUUCCCGGCCAAUGCA